GAUGAAGAACGUAGCAAAAUGCGAUACUUGGUGUGAAUUGCAGAAUCCCGUGAACCAUCGAGUUUUUGAACGCAAGUUGCGCCCGAAGCCUUUUGGCCGAGGGCACGUCUGCCUGGGCGUCACGCAUCGCGUCGCCCCCCACAAUUCUCCGUAAAGGGAACGUGUGUUUUGGGGGCGGAUAUUGGUCUCCCGUGCUCAUGGCGUGGUUGGCCGAAAUAGGAGUCCUUUCGAUGGACGCACGAACUAGUGGUGGUCGUAAAAACCCUCGUCUUUUGUUUCGUGCUGUUGCUCGCAAGGUAAACUCUUUAAAAACCCCAAUGUGUCGUCUCUUGACGACGCUACGACCGCGACCCCAGGUCAGGCGGGACUACCCGCUGAGUUUAAGCAUAUCAAUAAGCGGAGGA
RNAcentral lists this unclassified non-coding RNA (404 nucleotides) under soil metagenome. RNAcentral's name for it is "partial contains 5.8S ribosomal RNA, internal transcribed spacer 2, and large subunit ribosomal RNA". The stretch from base 1 to 122 matches the Rfam family "5.8S ribosomal RNA", at positions 35 to 154 of the family's 154-position model. The record is from RNAcentral.